AAAAGUGACAAAUGUGAAAAGAUGUUUAUUAUUGAAGAAUCUUAUGGGACUGGGUGAGUCCAGCUUUUUUAAUAUUUGAAAAUUUUAUAGCAAAACUCAUAAAGUAUCACCCAAACAGUUCAAAUUCUAUUUUUGUGAAUUAAAGCAACCAUAGUAACUUCUCUAAGCCUGGUUUUUCGUUUCUGCAAUUGAGAUGUGUCCACUUCCUGAAAAUAGAAACAUCAUUUCUAAAAGAAAUGGAGGAAAUUCCCACUGGGUCACUAGGCAAUGCUGAGCUGACGUGGAUCUGGGGUGAUCAGUCUGGACCUCUCAGAACACACACUGAGCCCGGAUCGGCUGAAUUCAAGCUCCCGUUCGCCUGCUUCCCGCAGACAAACAGCUGACUCAGCACUAAUCCAUCCGGCUGAAACAACUGGUCAGCCCUUCUGAUCCUACGGA
This 438-nucleotide long non-coding RNA is filed under the name Ictidomys tridecemlineatus (thirteen-lined ground squirrel). RNAcentral describes it as "lncRNA (ENSSTOG00000031587.1)". The record is from RNAcentral. Lineage: Eukaryota; Metazoa; Chordata; Mammalia; Rodentia; Sciuridae.